This 466-nucleotide ribosomal RNA is filed under the name uncultured bacterium. RNAcentral describes it as "partial 16S ribosomal RNA". It matches the Rfam family "Bacterial small subunit ribosomal RNA", at positions 28 to 508 of the family's 1533-position model. The record is from RNAcentral.
GACGAACGCUGGCGGCGUGCUUAACACAUGCAAGUCGAACGGAAAGGCCCCUUUGGGGGUACUCGAGUGGCGAACGGGUGAGUAACACGUGAGUAACCUGCCCUUGACUUCGGGAUAACUUCAGGAAACUGGGGCUAAUACCGGAUAGGAAUCCUUGCUGCAUGGUGGGGGUUGGAAAGCUUCGGCGGUUUUGGAUGGACUCGCGGCUUAUCAGCUUGUUGGUGGGGUAGUGGCUUACCAAGGCUUUGACGGGUAGCCGGCCUGAGAGGGCGACCGGCCACAUUGGGACUGAGAUACGGCCCAGACUCCUACGGGAGGCAGCAGUGGGGAAUAUUGCACAAUGGGCGGAAACCUGAUGCAGCAACGCCGCGUGCGGGAUGACGGCCUUCGGGUUGUAAACCGCUUUCAGCAGGGGCGAAGCUUGUGGUGACGGUACCUGCAGAAGAAGCACCGGCUAACUACGUGC